GGGCCCGCACAAGCGGUGGAGCAUGUGGUUUAAUUCGAUGCAACGCGAAGAACCUUACCAGGGCUUGACAUACUACAAAUUCUUUUGAGAAAAAGAAGUGCCUUCGGGAAUGUAGAUACAGGUGGUGCAUGGCUGUCGUCAGCUCGUGUCGUGAGAUGUUGGGUUAAGUCCCGCAACGAGCGCAACCCUUAUUUUUAGUUACCAAUUCGUUGGGUUCUCUAGAAAGACUGCCGGUGACAAACCGGAGGAAGGUGAGGAUGACGUCAAGUCAGCAUGCCCCUUAUGUCCUGGGCUACACACGUGCUACAAUGGCUAAGACAAAGAGUCGCGAACUUGCAAGAGUCAGCUAAUCUCAUAAACUUAGUCUAAGUUCAGAUUGUAGGCUGCAACUCGCCUACAUGAAGUUGGAAUCGCUAGUAAUCGCUGGUC
This 429-nucleotide ribosomal RNA is filed under the name uncultured bacterium. RNAcentral's name for it is "bacterial SSU rRNA". It matches the Rfam family "Bacterial small subunit ribosomal RNA", at positions 917 to 1350 of the family's 1533-position model. The record is from RNAcentral.